CAAAAGGUGGUUUUGAUCCUCAUUCUAACCACCACCAAUUUUGAAAACAACAUAAAAU
Non-coding RNA from Solanum lycopersicum (tomato), 58 nucleotides. The record is from Rfam. Lineage: Eukaryota; Viridiplantae; Streptophyta; Magnoliopsida; Solanales; Solanaceae.